CUUAGACCUAAGAGUUAGCGGCAAAGUAUUUCAAGCUGCUAAUCAAUUAAUUAAUUCUCAUAAAUUAAUUGAUUUAUUUUAUUAAAAAGGUUAUCAUGUCGGUGCGAAGUAAAAAAUCUAUUAUUACUAUUACAGUAAUGAAUUCAAAUGAUGAAUAAAUAUAAAAAAUAUAUUUUUAAUUAAUUAAAAUCACAAAAGAGUAGAAAUAAACUAAAGAAGAUGAAAAAUUGUCAGAAAAGUAACAGCUCAUAUAUUUAACUAACAAAUUCACUUGGUACCAAAUUUAUAAUCUUGAUUACAAUAUCUCGAGCAUGAAAUUUAAAUAAAAUUACUCGAGUUGAUAAAGCCAGAC
Molecule: long non-coding RNA, 352 nt
Organism: Microplitis demolitor
Lineage: Eukaryota; Metazoa; Arthropoda; Insecta; Hymenoptera; Braconidae
Exons: 3
Source: RefSeq, a predicted model, not a curated record